GGCAUUAUAGCAUAGUGGUAAUGCAGCAUACUGUUAAUAUGUGAAAUUAUUUUCAAGGAAGGUUCGAUUCCUUCUAAUGCCU
RNAcentral lists this transfer RNA (82 nucleotides) under Tilletia horrida. Its description in RNAcentral is "tRNA-Asn". It matches the Rfam family "tRNA". From Rfam's summary of the family: Transfer RNA (tRNA) molecules are approximately 80 nucleotides in length. Their secondary structure includes four short double-helical elements and three loops (D, anti-codon, and T loops). Lineage: Eukaryota; Fungi; Basidiomycota; Exobasidiomycetes; Tilletiales; Tilletiaceae. The record is from RNAcentral.